UACGGGGGAUGCAAGCGUUAUCCGGAAUUAUUGGGCGUAAAGCGUCCCGAGGUGGCUUACCCAGUCGACUGUGAAAGCUCAGGGCUUAACCUUGAAACUGCAGUCGAAACUUGUAAGCUUGAGUACGGUAGAGGCAGAGGGAAUUCCCGGAGGAGAGGUGAAAUUCGUAGAUAUCGGGAGGAAGGCCAAAGGCGAAAGCACUCUGCUGGGCCGAUUACUGACACUGACAGACGAAAGCUAGGGGAGCGAAAGGG
This 254-nucleotide ribosomal RNA is filed under the name uncultured bacterium. RNAcentral's name for it is "partial 16S ribosomal RNA". It matches the Rfam family "Bacterial small subunit ribosomal RNA", at positions 524 to 776 of the family's 1533-position model. The record is from RNAcentral.